AUGAAUUGCAUAAGUUGGAACUGCCGGGGGCUUGGGAACCCCGCGGCAGUUCGAGAGCUUCGCAGCAUAGUGAAGCAAGAAGGUCCUGCCCUUGUGUUUGUCAUGGAAACCAAAAUAAGGGCGAAAAAAGUGGAGAAUCGGCGAAAUACUUUGGGAUUUGCACGAUGUUUUGCCGUCGACAGUAACGGUCUCAGCGGUGGUGUGGGGCUGUUC
RNAcentral lists this ribosomal RNA (213 nucleotides) under Triticum aestivum (bread wheat). RNAcentral's name for it is "partial small subunit ribosomal RNA". The record is from RNAcentral. Lineage: Eukaryota; Viridiplantae; Streptophyta; Magnoliopsida; Poales; Poaceae.